RNAcentral lists this unclassified non-coding RNA (797 nucleotides) under Hevea brasiliensis (rubber tree). The record is from RNAcentral. Lineage: Eukaryota; Viridiplantae; Streptophyta; Magnoliopsida; Malpighiales; Euphorbiaceae.
AAAAAAAAGGCUUACACAAAAUUACAUCCCACGAAUUCCAUUUCAAAUUGAAUUGGUAAAAUGAGCGAACAUAAAUUCAAUCAAGUUCAUUUUGUAACGAAAUGUUGAAUAUUGUCUAUAAUACGACUAAAUGACUGCAAUGUGUCCAGUGAGGUACUUUGUCCCUUUGUUGUUUAAAAAUUACAUAUCACUGGGUAGCUCCCAUGUGCCUCUUAUAUCUUAGAUAGUCAAUCACUCUUACCUUCCUGGGAACCAAUCUCUUGCAAGUAAUGUUCUGCUUCCAAGGCUGCCAUGCAACCAGUGCCGGCAGCAGUAACAGCCUGCCUGUACUUCUUGUCCUGGACAUCUCCAGCGGCAAAAACACCACGCACACUGGUCUGGGUGGUGCCUGGUUUGGUCAUAACGUAACCAUCGGAGUCGAGUUGUAGCUGCCCAUUCAAGAACUUGGUAGCAGGCUCAUGCCCAAUGGCAAAGAACAAUCCAGACACCUUCAAAUCAGAUACUUGUCCAGUCGCGACGUUCUUCACCUGCAGCCCACCCAACAGGCGUUCUCCGUUAGCCUCCACCACCAUCGAAUUCCAAAUGACCUCGAUCUUAGGAUUGCUCAAGGCCCUAUUCUGCAUAAUCUUCGAAGCUCUAAAGGCAUCCCUCCUGUGAAUUAUAUAGACUUUGGAUCCAUACUUGGUGAGAAAGUUGGCUUCUUCCAUGGCCGAAUCCCCUCCGCCAAUCACGGCCAGAGGCUUGUCCCUGAAAAUUGGGGCGGCCCCAUCGCAUACCGCACAGGCCGAGAUGCCUCG